AACGCUGGCGGCGUGCUUAACACAUGCAAGUCGAACGGAAAGGCCCUGCUUUUGUGGGGUGCUCGAGUGGCGAACGGGUGAGUAACACGUGAGUAACCUGCCCUUGACUUUGGGAUAACUUCAGGAAACUGGGGCUAAUACCGGAUAGGAGCUCCUGCUGCAUGGUGGGGGUUGGAAAGUUUCGGCGGUUGGGGAUGGACUCGCGGCUUAUCAGCUUGUUGGUGGAGUAGUGGCUUACCAAGGCUUUGACGGGUAGCCGGCCUGAGAGGGUGACCGGCCACAUUGGGACUGAGAUACGGCCCAGACUCCUACGGGAGGCAGCAGUGGGGAAUAUUGCACAAUGGGCGGAAGCCUGAUGCAGCAACGCCGCGUGCGGGAUGACGGCCUUCGGGUUGUAAACCGCUUUCGCCUGUGACGAAGCGUGAGUGACGGUAAUGGGUAAAGAAGCACCGGCUAACUACGUGCCAGCAGCCGCGGUGAUACGUAGGGUGCGAGCGUUGUCCGGAUUUAUUGGGCGUAAAGGGCUCGUAGGUGGUUGAUCGCGUCGGAAGUGUAAUCUUGGGGCUUAACCCUGAGCGUGCUUUCGAUACGGGUUGACUUGAGGAAGGUAGGGGAGAAUGGAAUUCCUGGUGGAGCGGUGGAAUGCGCAGAUAUCAUGAGGAACACCAGUGGCGAAGGCGGUUCUCUGGGCCUUUCCUGACGCUGAGGAGCGAAAAGCGUGGGGAGCGAACAGGCUUAGAUACCCUGGUAGUCCACGCUGUAAACGGUGGGUACUAGGUGGUGGGGUCCAUUCCACGGGUUCCGUGCCGUAGCUAACGCUUUAAGUACCCCGCCUGGGGAGUACGGCCGCAAGGCUAAAACUCAAAGGAAUUGACGGGGCCCCGCACAAGCGGCGGAGCAUGCGGAUUAAUUCGAUGCAACGCGUAGAACCUUACCUGGGUUUGACAUGGAUCGGGAGUGCUCAGAGAUGGGUGUGCCUCUUUUGGGGUCGGUUCACAGGUGGUGCAUGGCUGUCGUCAGCUCGUGUCGUGAGAUGUUGGGUUAAGUCCCGCAACGAGCGCAACCCUUGUUCACUGUUGCCAGCACGUUAUGGUGGGGACUCAGUGGAGACCGCCGGGGUCAACUCGGAGGAAGGUGGGGAUGACGUCAAGUCAUCAUGCCCCUUAUGUCCAGGGCUUCACGCAUGCUACAAUGGCUGGUACAGAGAGUGGCGAGCCUGUGAGGGUGAGCGAAUCUCGGAAAGCCGGUCUCAGUUCGGAUUGGGGUCUGCAACUCGACCUCAUGAAGUCGGAGUCGCUAGUAAUCGCAGAUCAGCAACGCUGCGGUGAAUACGUUCCCGGGGCUUGUACACACCGCCCGUCAAGUCAUGAAAGUUGGUAACACCCGAAGCCGGUGGCCUAACCGUUGUGGGGGAGCCGUCGAAGGUGGGACUGGUGAAUAG
This 1441-nucleotide ribosomal RNA is filed under the name uncultured organism. RNAcentral's name for it is "partial small subunit ribosomal RNA". It matches the Rfam family "Bacterial small subunit ribosomal RNA". The record is from RNAcentral.